RNAcentral lists this transfer RNA (85 nucleotides) under Felis catus (domestic cat). It matches the Rfam family "tRNA". Rfam says of the family: Transfer RNA (tRNA) molecules are approximately 80 nucleotides in length. Their secondary structure includes four short double-helical elements and three loops (D, anti-codon, and T loops). The record is from Rfam by way of RNAcentral. Lineage: Eukaryota; Metazoa; Chordata; Mammalia; Carnivora; Felidae.
GCCUGGGUGGUUCAGUUGGUUGAGCAUCUGACUUCGGCUCAGGUCGUGAUCUCACAGUUUGUGGGUUCGAGCCCCGCAUCAGGCU